Molecule: ribosomal RNA, 440 nt
Filed under: uncultured bacterium
Lineage: Bacteria
Description: partial 16S ribosomal RNA
Rfam family: Bacterial small subunit ribosomal RNA
Source: RNAcentral
CCUACGGGGGGCAGCAGUGGGGAAUAUUGCACAAUGGGGGAAACCCUGAUGCAGCGACGCCGCGUGAGUGACGAAGUAUUUCGGUAUGUAAAGCACUAUCAGCAGGGAAGAAAAUGACGGUACCUGAUUAAGAAGCCCCAGCUAACUCCGUGCCAGCAGCCGCGGGCAUACGGAGGGGGCAAGCGUUAUCCGGAUUUACGGGGGGAAAGGGGAGCGGAGACGGCAGCACAAGUCUGGAGUGAAAUGCCGGGGCUUAACCCGGGAACGGCUUCGGAAACUGGGCAGCUAGAGUGCAGGAGAGGUAAGUAGAAUUCCUAGUGUAGCGGUGAAAUGCGUAGAGAUGAGGAGGAACACCAGUGGCGAAGGCGGCUUACUGGACUGUAACUGACGUUGAGGUGCGAAAGCGUGGGGAGCAAACAGGAUUAGAUACCCCUGUAGUC